GUACGGGGGCCUCAUGCACAUCUGUGAAAAACGGGAUAAAGAAAAUACAAGCUAAGCAGAUGGUGCAUCACCCAAGAAACCAAAAAAUGUGUACUAACCUCCGGAAACAGAUAGUUGUUUUGCAACUUUUCCAUAUUGACAUUCCGGGAUACCCUUGUCCUUGUGAAAUAAUCAGGCGCUGCGUUCACCAUUUGCAUCGUUUAUACAUGUCAUAAUAUAUACCUUAGUCUUGAUGUGCGCUCGUAUGAUGAUAUAGUAAAACAGACAUAGACAAGAGUGGAGUUGAUGAUCACAUACCAGCUGCUACCACUGAUGUUUCCAUUUGUGCUUUCAACCUGCAUAACAAUACAACAAUCAAUGAAACUGACGAUUAUACAUAUAUGAUGAAAUUUAUGGGCAUAAUGUUCGUGCAUGGAGGAACUAUAAUCACUACGGUUAUGUGAUUAAAGCAUUACCUAGACCUAGACUCCAGCAAAACUGGGCAGUGCAUGAUAGAACUGCCGGUUGAUAUCUUAUACAUGAUUUUAUUUCUGAUGAAUGUGUGGAAAUAAGAAUUGGUGUGAGGUGACUAGCAAAAAGCAUGUAAUAGUUUAUGAGUUGAGGAUAUAUAGAUAGAUAUAUAUAGCGGACGCUACCAUGCAUGAACAAGGUUUUGAAUUGAAUUUGUCACUCUGAAGUUAUUUGUGUCCUUAUUGUAUGUCAAAGGCUCAAAGCAGACAACGAUGCACCAAUUUCUUUGCUGUAGGCCCUCACUUUGAAUCAUCCACAUGUGAAAUCGAUUAAUAGUAAUACAUGGUUCACACUUGCUUUUUUUUUUUCCCUGGUCUUUAUUCUUACAAUUCUAGAUGUGUUGUUGGACUAGGUUAUAGAUGGUGCUCGUGUAACUUUCGAGCAGGGAAAUUUGUUUAGAAAUUGUUGUAUCCAUCUAAUUUCUAUUAAAAACUCCUUUUCGCCGGUACAUUGCAUACAAUUCCUCCACACCACCGCCUCCCCACCGGCCCCCUUCUCUUUCUUUUGAUAGCAUAAUGUAGAGUGAGGUGAGGGUGGAACCAGAAUGGCAUUAUCAUUAAGAUAAAAACGUUAGCGCCACCUCCACCAGCCCCUUCUCUUUCUUUUGAUAGCAUAAUGUAGAGUGAGGUGAGGAUGGGAACCAGAAUGGUAUUAUAUCUGUUACUUGAUAUUUUUUUAGAGCACAAGAAAUAUAUUUGAAUUUCCUAACAAAAGAAGGGAAUGAAUAUAUUUUAUUUUAUCUUUCAAGAGGAUCAAUAGUGAUUCCUCACUUAUUCCUUUUUGAUGAUUCAAACUUGUGACCUAUCGAUUAUAGAUGAAUCAUCUUAUCAACAAAGUUAUAUGAUAGCUCCUGAAGAUAAAAACAAAAAAAAACAAAAAAAGGAUGGCUGUGAUGAUAGUUUAUGAGGACAAUUUGGAGUUCACUUCUCUGAUAAUGCAAUCUCCACAUGCCACCAAUAAGAUGGCUGUGACAAUUCUAGUGGUGCUGGUGGCUCAAAGCAAGGUCAUUGGUCCUGUUCUUUUUUAUAGCAUAUGCUUAUACUAUAAGCUAACAAGUUAGCCAGCACUAGGGAUAUAUGUCUAGCUUUGACCCUGUAUAAUUAAGUAUGGCAUACUACAUAAUCAUUUCCGGUACUCCGACGGGGAUGAAGGUAUGUUCAAUGCAGUUUUGAUCUGUUUUCCUGCAGUCCAAAAUUUAUACAUUUGAAUGAGCAAGUCCGGUCUUAUGAAUUAAUAAACGUGCAGCAUUUUGAUCCAAGGCAGCUAGAGACAUAUCGCAAUGUUUCUGUGAAAUGUCGGGGAAUCUUUCUUGUUCUGUAAAAUUUCUUAUCUUGAAAUCAAAAGAUCAGAAACAUGAUGACGACAGUCUAACCCCAAGAAAUCCAAUGGAGAAUCCCACACAGAUUUUCUUUCUUUCUUUUUUUUUUUUUAAAAAAAAAAAAUUUUUUGUUAAGGAAGAAGUAACAUCUAGACAUGCUUGAUGACUCAUGCAUGAGUAAUUAGGAGACUUUCUUUGCGGAUGAUUUCUCAAAUUAAUCCUCCCGUACUUGUUGCACUAAUUACAUCUACCAAUUUUCCACCGAAUUUCCUUUGUUCAAGCCUGCGAAAUAAGAGCUCUCAUAAAAUUAAUGCAGAUAAAAGUUGAAAGACUCCUUUAAAUGUUACAAAUUGGUCAAGUAGCCAGCCAGUUAAACAAUUAAUGUAAUCAAAACAAAUUAGGUAUGGGUACGUACUUGUUAGAUGUUACUUACUACUACUUUUAUAUGCUAUUGCUUUUGUUCACGCAACUGGGAAGAUACUAAGCAUUUAUGCCCGAGAAAUAGUAGUACUAUACAAAUAUGUUGACUAAACCAAACUACAUCUGACAGUUUCUCAAAUAACGCCAAAGCAGCACGUAUAUUCUAGAUACAUAUACAGAAGAGCUUUAAGAAAAUAUGCAGAAAAAGGCAGAAGAAAAUAAAAUGUCCACCAACCUGCUGCUAGUAAUUUAGCGAGAGAUCAACUAAAAGUAGACUCUGACCUUUGGAAAUAGAUUAAUUGGGCAGAGGAAGUGCCGCAUCCCACCCAGAACCUUGCAAACAAUUAAUUAUGACACAUAAAAUAUUGACUUUUCUUGGCCUUUAGUUUACUGCGUAAACUAUAUAUGGUAAACACUGGAGAAAUAGUCAUCAUUUUGAAAAAAAAUUCCAGGUUUUGAAAACCAAACUGAACAGCUGCUGUGAUUAAAGACUCAAAUAUGUUCAUCGGUCAGAGUUCAAAUGAGUCCAAGAAGCUCCAAAUUAAACAAAUAUUGCCAGGGCAUUAUUUUCUUAUGUACGCAAGCAAUACUCAUGGGGAUAGCCAGGACAGAAGAAUAAUUAUUGACUUAAAUCAGUCAAACUUUUUACCGCGCAUUCAUUUGAAGUUUGGAACCGUGACUAAUUGCAGAGAGAAACCUCUCGUUUUCGCGUACGUGGAAGAAGAGUUGAUGAGGCCAAAAAAGCCAAAAUGGAGGAAUUGGCGAGUCAAGGCUGAAGACAUCGAAAGAGGCCAACUGUCAGCAAUUUAGCCAGAGCCCUUUUUGAAAUUGCGUAUUCAAGGCGUGCAUAAAGUAUCAACGCCCGCUUUGAGAUUUGUUCGAACAACGUACCUGAUCAUCCUACGUAGGCAGAUAUAUAGGCUCUUGACUUCUUUCUAAUUCUAGCUAGAAUAUCUGUGCAAAGACAAAAUGCUUGCGUUAUAUAAAUCAUCUUAGUAAUGUUCACUUUGGACUUCCGAGUUCGAAGGUUGGAAAAUUCUAAUUCCUGAAGUGAGCAACAACUAAUAACGCAUGCCUGCCAAAUUUGUUUUUUGAGCUUUAUGAAGUUUCAAAACCUGUUUUAGACUUAGACUUGUGGAAAGAUGCGAAACAUUAAUUCUUCUUAUUUAGAUGCAUGCAUCAGAAAACCAAAUUUAUUCGGUCGGUAUAGGCUCUAUAUCCUUUGUUGAAAGAUUGGGAGUCCAACCUUGUUAAAGGCUUAAAGCAUGCAAGAUAAUAUAUUUGUUUGGCAGUACUUCAAGUAUAUAUAACAGGAGUUUCUUGUUUUGGAACUAGUAUAAUCACGUUUAAGGCCCCCCACAGGCAGCUCGGGCGGACUUCGCGUUCUUAGUUAAGGCGCCGGUCCUGGUUUCGAUUCCGCGCUUGGGCUGCUUGGGGUAAUUUCCUGAGGAUCGGUGGGGCCCGCUCUCCUCGGGGUUGGUAGGAUUAGUCGGGGUGAGACCCGGACACCUUCCAACUGAAAAAAAAAAAAAAAAUCACGUUUAAGGAUAUAUAUGGUGAACUUGGAUCUUUUCUUUUCUUUUUUUCCUUUUUAUGUACCUAAGCAAGUGCUUCUUUUAUCUCAACAUGUACCUACUUGAUUAACCGAAUACUGAAAUUGUAGUAAGUAUGAUUUUUCUUCAUAGCCUUUCUAUCGUCCCCACCCACCUUAACUUUCUUCAUCUCCAUGGCCAUUUCCUUGGCCUACAUAUGUGUAUAUAUAUAUAUCACUCCCUGAUCGCCAGACUGAAUAUAUUAUAAAAAAGUUGUUGGCCAUGCGUCUUGGUCAAUAGCUUAGUCACAAAUCGAAAUAAGAAAAAAGAAAUGAAAAGGAACCAUAGAUAGAAGUUGAAGGAUUAAGGUGGACGUACGUAGCAUUCCAGCCCAGUUGACUGGUAAAAUUAUCAUACUCAAAUAGCUAGUAUUAUCAGGUGACGUACUGAUCAAUUUAUUUUCUUUUCUUAUUGUUUUCCUUGUCUCUUUUUGGUAGGAGUAAAUCUUAUACGGGGAGACACUAACCUUGGAACUUCCUCGUUGGUAACCUUCUCGGAAACUUUGUGGUAAAAUUAUUUAAGAGAACUGACGCCAUGCAACAAUUUCUUGAAUUUUUACUUCUUCAUUAUUCAUCAAUUGUGGAAUUAGAUAAGGAGUGUUGUCGGAGAUAACAACUAUUUAUGGCAAGGCAUGACUGCAAGCUUAGUCUACAAAAUGUUUUAUUAACAAAUUGAAAUUGUGCGGACAGACAUGAUUCAUUGCCAAUACAUAGUAACUUUUUGCAUUAUGCGUGCGAUUCACCAAUUACUAUAGGAAAUUUAGCUAUUAUCAAUUAAUUUUACAACUUGUGAAUUGCAAUUUACAACGUGUGAGGUGUUUUGCAGUACAUUUCUCCAACAUUUCGCACUAUUGAUUGUUCUUAACCCCCAAUGCUUGCUUGUAGAACUUGAAACUGUAGGUAAAUCACACAACGGAUUUUUUGUCUCACUUUCUGUGCCGCUCUCUCACACACUUUUUAUUAUAUUACUAUUUCUCCUUCAUAAACAUCAUAUUUUAAUUUUUUUUUAUUUUCUUAAAAUCCAAUAAUUAUUAACUAGAUGACAACGCAGAUACUUAAAAUACAUGUGUUUAAAAAAAAUGUAUUCACACACAUAAUUAGUGAGGGAUGGAAAUAUUCAUUUUUUGAAAUAUGAGGGAUGGAGAAAUUCAUUUUGUGAAAUGUGAGGGAUGAAAAAAAUCAUUUUACAAAAUGUGAGGGACGAAAAAAUUUAUUUUAUCAAAUGUGGAGGACUAUAGAUCAGAUUAUGUAAAAUAUAAUUUGACAAAUUUACCCUUCAAAAAUGAUCACGUGCCUUGCACGUGAUGGAUUCCGGCCAAAAAAUGAUCGGAAACCUAGUUAAGGACUAAAUUUGACCGAUGUGAAUAUUUAAGGGACAUAAAAUUACACUUUUAAAAGUGAGGGACGAAAAAAGUCAUUUUACAAAAUGUGAAGGACGUUUUGGAUGAUUUUCCCAAAAAAGAAGGUAUUGCACAUUUCGAGCCAAUAAUAAUCCUGCAAAUUAAGCCCAAGCCGUAAACCAACUGAGCUUUCUUAAGGUUAACAGACUUGAGGCCCAGACCCAGAGCCUCAAAGUACUGGAUAAAUUGGGAUUAGUGCAGCAGCUAUGGCCUAUGGACAUUGUGGGUUAAAUUCCUAUAAUGGCUCUCUCUCCAAGACAGAGACUGAUUUUGAUCGUCUUAAUUAUUCUUAGGAACGAGAUACUACGAUUAAAAGGCUAAUUAAGAUCCAAAGUGCAAAGUGAAAAUGUGUUCGAAACUUUUACAGAUACAAAAGUUGCUUUGCUGCUAAGUCCAAACAGUACAUGAGAGGAGAUUAUUUAAAAUAAUUUUUUUAGAAUAAGUAGGGUAAUGCCUUUUAUGAUUUAAUUAUGUAGUUGAAAAUGUGACGUAGGAAAUGGAAAUUUUUUUGGUAUAAAAACAUUUUUAAACACACGCACAAUUUAACUCUAUAAAACUGUUUCUUAUUGUUAGGAUUGGUUAUGAAAAAGCUUAGUAUAAAUUAAUCAAUUUUAACACAUAUUUUUUGGGUUGACCUAUAUAUCUAAAAUCGGUUUAAUUCCUACAAAUUCCAAGUUUUAAGAGACGGGGAGUCUGAGAAAAUGAGAUUUAUAUGGGUUAAUAGAAUAAUAAUCGGUAAUAGUUUGGCUUUUGAUGAGUAUAAUCUUUUGAAUUUGGCCUAAAAAAAAGAAUUUGGCAUCUAAUAAUUCAAAGUCCCUCUCAUAUUUAACCCAAAAAAGAAGAAGAAGAAGAAAAAAGGGAUAACAAACAUAAACUCAUUUCAUUAAAAAAUAUAUAUAUUUUAAGGGGGAGGGGCUGGAAAGAAAAAAAGAAUGGACUCGUGCUAGCCAUAUGUGAUGUAUAUAUAUAUAUAUAUAUAUACCUGUACAUCAAAAAGCGCUAAUGCUUUCUUGAGCCAAUUUUUUCCUAUUUCAACAAAUUUGUGAAAAAUCAAAUAACGUAUUUGUAAAUUACAUUUUAAUUUAAAAGAAUGCAUUUUGUUGAUGCAUUUUUCACCUUUGGAAUGAAAGUCAAAAAUCGCCACCGUCUCUGGAAAAGUCAGUUCACAUUUUCUGGGAAUUUACUUGAGCAAAGUUUAGUUGAAAAUCAACCCGGGAAACAGAUCUCAGUCGCAAUUCAAGUAAACCGCUUCGGCUUAUUAGCUUUCUCUCUACGCUAAGGCGUAGCGUUGCCGGAACGCGGUCUGUAAACACACUUCUGCUGCUGCCAUUGUGAGCUGCUACUACUAGUACAAUAACAAGGUACAAGGCGGCGUCUAUACAUACACUCCCGCCCCUCAGUCGCUGUCUCGUUCGCUUUUCACUUUUAGUAGUUUUCAGUUUCCUUUGUCGGGGCCUGGUUGCCUGUACUUCCCUCUUUUCUCCUUUUCAAA
This 6731-nucleotide long non-coding RNA is filed under the name Coffea arabica (coffee). RNAcentral's name for it is "long non-coding RNA (CARA_LNC001664)". The record is from RNAcentral. Lineage: Eukaryota; Viridiplantae; Streptophyta; Magnoliopsida; Gentianales; Rubiaceae.